RNAcentral lists this ribosomal RNA (433 nucleotides) under uncultured bacterium. RNAcentral describes it as "partial 16S ribosomal RNA". It matches the Rfam family "Bacterial small subunit ribosomal RNA", at positions 29 to 507 of the family's 1533-position model. The record is from RNAcentral.
AACGAACGCUGGCGGCAUGCCUAACACAUGCAAGUCGAACGAGACCUUCGGGUCUAGUGGCGCACGGGUGCGUAACGCGUGGGAACCUGCCCUUAGGUUUGGAAUAACUCCCCGAAAGGGGUGCUAAUACCGGAUAAUGUCUUCGGACCAAAGAUUUAUCGCCUUUGGAUGGGCCCGCGUUGGAUUAGCUAGUUGGUAGGGUAAAAGCCUACCAAGGCGACGAUCCAUAGCUGGUCUGAGAGGAUGAUCAGCCACACUGGGACUGAGACACGGCCCAGACUCCUACGCGAGGCAACAGUGGGGAAUAUUGUACAAUGUGCGGAAGCCUGAUCAAGCCAUGCCGCGUGAGUGAUGAAAGCCUUAGGGUUGUAAAGCUCUUUUACCCGGGAUGAUAAUGACAGUACCGGGAGAAUAAGCUCCGGCUAACUCCGUG